GGCUGGUCCGAAGGCAGUGGUUGUUACAAUUAAUUGAUUACAGACAGUUACAGAUUUCUUUGUUCUUUCUCCCCUUCCACUGCUCCUCUUGACUAGCCUUUU
Leptobrachium leishanense (Leishan spiny toad) is the source of this 102-nucleotide Y RNA. It matches the Rfam family "Y RNA". From Rfam's summary of the family: Y RNAs are components of the Ro ribonucleoprotein particle (Ro RNP), in association with Ro60 and La proteins. The Y RNAs and Ro60 and La proteins are well conserved, but the function of the Ro RNP is not known. In humans the RNA component can be one of four small RNAs -- hY1, hY3, hY4 and hY5. NCBI's taxonomy places the organism in Eukaryota, Metazoa, Chordata, Amphibia, Anura, Megophryidae. The record is from Ensembl.